UACGAAGGGGGCUAGCGUUGUUCGGAAUUACUGGGCGUAAAGCGCGCGUAGGCGGUUUUGCAAGCCAGAGGUGAAAUGCCUGAGCUCAACUCAGGAAUGGCCUUUGGGACUGCGAGGCUUUGAGGACUGGAGAGGUGAGUGGAAUUCCCAGUGUAGAGGUGAAAUUCGUAGAUAUUGGGAAGAACACCCGUGGCGAAGGCGGCUCUCUGGGACGGUACUGACGCUGAGACGCGAAAGCGUGGGGAGCAAACAGG
RNAcentral lists this ribosomal RNA (254 nucleotides) under uncultured bacterium. RNAcentral describes it as "partial 16S ribosomal RNA". It matches the Rfam family "Bacterial small subunit ribosomal RNA", at positions 524 to 776 of the family's 1533-position model. The record is from RNAcentral.